Molecule: microRNA precursor, 75 nt
Filed under: Myotis brandtii (Brandt's bat)
Lineage: Eukaryota; Metazoa; Chordata; Mammalia; Chiroptera; Vespertilionidae
Description: mir-9229 microRNA precursor family
Rfam family: mir-9229 microRNA precursor family
Source: Rfam by way of RNAcentral
GAGACACCCCUAGGGGCAGGACCUGCUUCAGUAGGGCUUUGGUGCUCACUGCAUCUGCCCCUUGAGUGUGUCACU